This 508-nucleotide ribosomal RNA is filed under the name uncultured bacterium. RNAcentral's name for it is "partial 16S ribosomal RNA". It matches the Rfam family "Bacterial small subunit ribosomal RNA", at positions 28 to 523 of the family's 1533-position model. The record is from RNAcentral.
GACGAACGCUGGCGGCGCGCUUAACACAUGCAAGUCGAGCGAGAACCAGGGCUUCGGCCCUGGGGACAGCGGCGAACGAGUGAGUAACACGUGGGUAAUCCACCCUCGGCACCGGAAUAGCCCGGGGAAACCCGGAUUAAUGCCGGAUGGCCCGCCGGCCCUGCGGGGCUGGCGGAAAAGGUAGCUUCGGCCUCCGGCCGAGGACGAGCCCGCGACGGAUUAGCUUGUUGGUGGGGUAACGGCCUACCAAGGCUGCGAUCCGUAGCUGGUCUGAGAGGACGAUCAGCCACACUGGGACUGAGACACGGCCCAGACUCCUACGGGAGGCAGCAGUGGGGAAUCUUGCGCAAUGGGCGAAAGCCUGACGCAGCGACGCCGCGUGAGGGAAGAAGGCCUUCGGGUUGUAAACCUCUUUCAGGAGGGACGAAGCCACUCGGGUUAAUAGCCCAGAGGGUGACGGUACCUCCAGAAGAAGCCCCGGCUAACUACGUGCCAGCCGCCGCCGUAA